CAACCCAAUUUUUAUAAGUAAAUUUAGAUUUUAGUCACAAAAAACCCAAUUUUUCAACGGCUCUUUUUCUCUCAGGCUCUUGAAGCAGAGCAAACUACGACGUUUCCUGGUGUUGUAACCUUGUAGGCCUGCUAUUGUGACCGAAUCGGUUCAGAGCGAGGAGCGUGUAUCAUCGUAUGUCCUUCAAUUUCGUUAAUUGCAUGGAAAAACUCUGGUAAACUCUCAGGCUUUGUCAGGAUUGAGUAUGUAAUCUUAACAAAAUUACAAAAGCAGGUUGGAGGUCGUAGUAGGUCCUUGGCUCAAGGAAUGAUGUUUUGCAAAUAAUAAAAAAGUAGCUUCAGCGAAACUUGAGAAACGGUUUUCCAUUUUAAACAGGUGUAAAUUCUUAAAAUUCCGUUCCGAAUGAACAAAUCACUGCCCAGACGGAGUAAGGAGAUGAUUGACUACUCUGACGACUUUUAGCUACGGUUAAAAGUUUCGUUGACUAUAGUUUCAAUUAGUGGCGCUUACCAACGGUUAGUGACCCAAAAAAUCGAAGCUAAAGCUGUUUUUGAGA
Prunus persica (peach) is the source of this 556-nucleotide long non-coding RNA. RefSeq lists it as uncharacterized. The record is from RefSeq and is a predicted model, not a curated record. The transcript is spliced from 2 exons. NCBI's taxonomy places the organism in Eukaryota, Viridiplantae, Streptophyta, Magnoliopsida, Rosales, Rosaceae.